Daphnia carinata is the source of this 623-nucleotide long non-coding RNA. RefSeq lists it as uncharacterized. The record is from RefSeq and is a predicted model, not a curated record. Lineage: Eukaryota; Metazoa; Arthropoda; Branchiopoda; Diplostraca; Daphniidae. The transcript has 3 exons.
AAAUGACCAACGUCAAGUAUAAUUGUCGCCUGUGGGACGACAGGAACGACCGUGAUCGAAUAAGAGGCACAGGAAAAUUCGGCGGAUGUAGUGUACUUUAUUGGACUUAGUGGUGCUGUUAAGAGGACACUGUAAUUCGCAUUGAACGAUUAUGUAAUCGCGUGAGGUACACCAGUAUUCGACCUCGAUUAAAACAACAUGCGAUUCAGAUUCAAUUUCGUACAAAUUUCAAGCAACGAUUCACAUAGCCCUAAUCGUUGCAUAUCUAACCAAAUAACUGGAAUUUGUCGGAUUGGUUGCUGUGAUGUCCCAAUCUCCAAUAAGCAGACAUCUUGGCUUUUUUCUCAGUAAAUAAGCAGGAGGGAUCUGUGCAUAUGACGUACAGGCCAGAGACUAUCUCCCCCUACCACCGCGAUCCUCUUCCACCGAAAGAAGAUAUUUUCCAUGAUAAAUACGAAAAAUGAUAUGAUGCUUCCCACGAUCAACACAGCAAAUGCACCAACCAAAUUAUCUAAAGAUAAACGAACGAGUGGUUUCUUCUCGCUUUUGUCACGUUGGAUGUUUUGCUUUCUUGUCCAACAAGGCUUGGCAUCUGGAAUAAACCAUCCCUCCCACAGAGUACU